GGGCAUAUAGCUCAGCUGGCUAGAGCGCAACACUGAUAAUGUUGAGGUCCGUGGUUCGAGCCCACGUAUGCCCACUA
RNAcentral lists this transfer RNA (77 nucleotides) under Candidatus Kuenenbacteria bacterium CG_4_10_14_3_um_filter_39_14. RNAcentral's name for it is "tRNA-Ile". It matches the Rfam family "tRNA". Rfam says of the family: Transfer RNA (tRNA) molecules are approximately 80 nucleotides in length. Their secondary structure includes four short double-helical elements and three loops (D, anti-codon, and T loops). Further hydrogen bonds mediate the characteristic L-shaped molecular structure. tRNAs have two regions of fundamental functional importance: the anti-codon, which is responsible for specific mRNA codon recognition, and the 3' end, to which the tRNAs corresponding amino acid is attached (by aminoacyl-tRNA synthetases). tRNAs cope with the degeneracy of the genetic code in two manners: having more than one tRNA (with a specific anti-codon) for a particular amino acid; and 'wobble' base-pairing, i.e. permitting non-standard base-pairing at the 3rd anti-codon position. Lineage: Bacteria; Candidatus Kueneniibacteriota. The record is from RNAcentral.